UACGUAGGGGGCAAGCGUUGUCCGGAUUUAUUGGGCGUAAAGAGCGUGUAGGCGGCUUUACAGGUCCGUUGUGAAAACUCGAGGCUCAACCUCGAGACGCCGGUGGAAACCGUAAAGCUAGAGUCCGGAAGAGGAGAGUGGAAUUCCUGGUGUAGCGGUGAAAUGCGCAGAUAUCAGGAGGAACACCGGUGGCGAAGGCGGAUCUCCGGGCCUUACCUGACGCUCAGGCGCGAAAGCUAGGGGAGCGAACUGG
RNAcentral lists this ribosomal RNA (253 nucleotides) under uncultured bacterium. RNAcentral's name for it is "partial 16S ribosomal RNA". It matches the Rfam family "Bacterial small subunit ribosomal RNA", at positions 524 to 776 of the family's 1533-position model. The record is from RNAcentral.